UACGAAGGGGGCUAGCGUUGCUCGGAAUUACUGGGCGUAAAGGGCGCGUAGGCGGACAGUUUAGUCAGAGGUGAAAGCCCCGGGCUCAACCUGGGAAUGGCAUUUGGGACUGCAAGGCUGGAGUUUGGCAGAGGAGACUGGAAUUCCUGGUGUAGCAGUGAAAUGCGUAGAUAUCAGGAGGAACACCGAUGGCGAAGGCAGGUCUCUGGGCUGAAACUGACGCUCAUGCACGAAAGCGUGGGGAGCAAACAGG
This 253-nucleotide ribosomal RNA is filed under the name uncultured bacterium. Its description in RNAcentral is "partial 16S ribosomal RNA". It matches the Rfam family "Bacterial small subunit ribosomal RNA", at positions 524 to 776 of the family's 1533-position model. The record is from RNAcentral.